UACGAAGGGGGCUAGCGUUGCUCGGAAUUACUGGGCGUAAAGCGCACGUAGGCGGAUUGUUAAGUCGGGGGGUGAAAUCCUGGAGCUCAACUCCAGAACUGCCUUCGAUACUGGCGAUCUCGAGUUCGGGAGAGGUGAGUGGAACUGCGAGUGUAGAGGUGAAAUUCGUAGAUAUUCGCAAGAACACCAGUGGCGAAGGCGGCUCACUGGCCCGGUACUGACGCUGAGGUGCGAAAGCGUGGGGAGCGAACAGG
This 254-nucleotide ribosomal RNA is filed under the name uncultured bacterium. RNAcentral's name for it is "partial 16S ribosomal RNA". It matches the Rfam family "Bacterial small subunit ribosomal RNA", at positions 524 to 776 of the family's 1533-position model. The record is from RNAcentral.